Molecule: ribosomal RNA, 1271 nt
Filed under: Escherichia coli
Lineage: Bacteria; Pseudomonadati; Pseudomonadota; Gammaproteobacteria; Enterobacterales; Enterobacteriaceae
Description: partial 23S ribosomal RNA
Rfam family: Bacterial large subunit ribosomal RNA
Source: RNAcentral
GGUCAGCGACUUAUAUUCUGUAGCAAGGUUAACCGAAUAGGGGAGCCGAAGGGAAACCGAGUCUUAACUGGGCGUUAAGUUGCAGGGUAUAGACCCGAAACCCGGUGAUCUAGCCAUGGGCAGGUUGAAGGUUGGGUAACACUAACUGGAGGACCGAACCGACUAAUGUUGAAAAAUUAGCGGAUGACUUGUGGCUGGGGGUGAAAGGCCAAUCAAACCGGGAGAUAGCUGGUUCUCCCCGAAAGCUAUUUAGGUAGCGCCUCGUGAAUUCAUCUCCGGGGGUAGAGCACUGUUUCGGCAAGGGGGUCAUCCCGACUUACCAACCCGAUGCAAACUGCGAAUACCGGAGAAUGUUAUCACGGGAGACACACGGCGGGUGCUAACGUCCGUCGUGAAGAGGGAAACAACCCAGACCGCCAGCUAAGGUCCCAAAGUCAUGGUUAAGUGGGAAACGAUGUGGGAAGGCCCAGACAGCCAGGAUGUUGGCUUAGAAGCAGCCAUCAUUUAAAGAAAGCGUAAUAGCUCACUGGUCGAGUCGGCCUGCGCGGAAGAUGUAACGGGGCUAAACCAUGCACCGAAGCUGCGGCAGCGACACUAUGUGUUGUUGGGUAGGGGAGCGUUCUGUAAGCCUGUGAAGGUGGCCUGUGAGGGUUGCUGGAGGUAUCAGAAGUGCGAAUGCUGACAUAAGUAACGAUAAAGCGGGUGAAAAGCCCGCUCGCCGGAAGACCAAGGGUUCCUGUCCAACGUUAAUCGGGGCAGGGUGAGUCGACCCCUAAGGCGAGGCCGAAAGGCGUAGUCGAUGGGAAACAGGUUAAUAUUCCUGUACUUGGUGUUACUGCGAAGGGGGGACGGAGAAGGCUAUGUUGGCCGGGCGACGGUUGUCCCGGUUUAAGCGUGUAGGCUGGUUUUCCAGGCAAAUCCGGAAAACCAAGGCUGAGGCGUGAUGACGAGGCACUACGGUGCUGAAGCGACAAAUGCCCUGCUUCCAGGAAAAGCCUCUAAGCAUCAGGUAACAUCAAAUCGUACCCCAAACCGACACAGGUGGUCAGGUAGAGAAUACCAAGGCGCUUGAGAGAACUCGGGUGAAGGAACUAGGCAAAAUGGUGCCGUAACUUCGGGAGAAGGCACGCUGAUAUGUAGGUGAAGCGACUUGCUCGUGGAGCUGAAAUCAGUCGAAGAUACCAGCUGGCUGCAACUGUUUAUUAAAAACACAGCACUGUGCAAACACGAAAGUGGACGUAUACGGUGUGACGCCUGCCCGGUGCCGGAAG